GCCGAAGUGGCGGAAUGGCAGACGCGGCGGUCUCAAAAACCGCUGGGGCAACCCGUGUGGGUUCGACUCCCACCUUCGGCA
RNAcentral lists this transfer RNA (81 nucleotides) under Pseudomonadota bacterium. RNAcentral describes it as "tRNA-Leu". It matches the Rfam family "tRNA". From Rfam's summary of the family: Transfer RNA (tRNA) molecules are approximately 80 nucleotides in length. Their secondary structure includes four short double-helical elements and three loops (D, anti-codon, and T loops). Further hydrogen bonds mediate the characteristic L-shaped molecular structure. tRNAs have two regions of fundamental functional importance: the anti-codon, which is responsible for specific mRNA codon recognition, and the 3' end, to which the tRNAs corresponding amino acid is attached (by aminoacyl-tRNA synthetases). tRNAs cope with the degeneracy of the genetic code in two manners: having more than one tRNA (with a specific anti-codon) for a particular amino acid; and 'wobble' base-pairing, i.e. permitting non-standard base-pairing at the 3rd anti-codon position. RNAcentral also lists the same sequence under 2 other names. Lineage: Bacteria; Pseudomonadati; Pseudomonadota. The record is from RNAcentral.